This 253-nucleotide ribosomal RNA is filed under the name uncultured bacterium. Its description in RNAcentral is "partial 16S ribosomal RNA". It matches the Rfam family "Bacterial small subunit ribosomal RNA", at positions 524 to 776 of the family's 1533-position model. The record is from RNAcentral.
UACGGGGGGGGCAAGCGUUGUUCGGAAUUACUGGGCGUAAAGGGCUCGUAGGUGGCCAACUAAGUCAGACGUGAAAUCCCUCGGCUCAACCGGGGAACUGCGUCUGAUACUGGGUGGCUUGAAUCCGGGAGAGGGAUGUGGAAUUCCAGGUGUAGCGGUGAAAUGCGUAGAUAUCUGGAGGAACACCGGUGGCGAAGGCGGCAUCCUGGACCGGUAUUGACGCUGAGGCGCGAAAGCCAGGGGAGCAAACGGG